Molecule: ribosomal RNA, 253 nt
Filed under: uncultured bacterium
Lineage: Bacteria
Description: partial 16S ribosomal RNA
Rfam family: Bacterial small subunit ribosomal RNA
Source: RNAcentral
UACGUAGGGAGCAAGCGUUGUCCGGAAUCAUUGGGCGUAAAGCGCGCGUAGGCGGCCCUGUAAGUCCGUUGUGAAAGUCAAAGGCUCAACCUUUGAAAGCCGAUGGAUACUGCAGGGCUAGAGUCCGGAAGAGGCGAGUGGAAUUCCUGGUGUAGCGGUGAAAUGCGCAGAUAUCAGGAGGAACACCGAUGGCGAAGGCAGGUCUCUGGGCCGAUACUGACGCUGAGGAGCGAAAGCGUGGGGAGCGAACAGG